This 314-nucleotide transfer-messenger RNA is filed under the name Alphaproteobacteria bacterium. It matches the Rfam family "Alphaproteobacteria transfer-messenger RNA". From Rfam's summary of the family: Bacterial tmRNA, also known as 10Sa RNA or SsrA, is named for its dual tRNA and mRNA-like properties. Its role is to liberate the mRNA from a stalled ribosome. The record is from RNAcentral. Lineage: Bacteria; Pseudomonadati; Pseudomonadota; Alphaproteobacteria.
CCCCUUCCCAUCGGGCGCCCCAGUCCUUAUAUUUCCACUGCCGCCUCGGCGGCUAUGGCGAUAAACGUCCUAUGGAAUAAGCGUUGCGGACCCGGGGGCAGUACCCGGCGCCUCCACCACUUCCCAUCCGGCCCAUGAGGGCCUGCCUUGGGGGCGAACCAGGAUCGACGCGCGUGGUAAAGGUAGGAUUUUUGCCCGGCAUGAUACCGCCGUUAUCGGGUCAAACUCUAAGUGCGAACGACAACGAGUACGCACUCGCUGCUUAACUAAGCAAGCGCGGCCCGGGGGGCGCCGGGCAACAGAAGCCCCCCACC